GAAAUCGCGGGCAAGAAAGGAACCCUUAUGACCAAGCAAGGCAUUAAAGUGCACAAGCAACUCAAAGCUGCCGUAGUGCAGGGUACCAAUUAAUAUCCCGGUUUCCGGAUUUUGCUCAUGUAAGCGGUCUAGCAAUUCGCGCCCUGCUGAGAAGUCAAUCAUUUCCUUCGCCCGAUUCUCUGUCAAUGCAGGCACACGGGCAAAGCUAAGCAAAUUCCUUGCGAGCACAUCCCAGGAUUGCGCAAGAAUCUUAGCUCGUUCUUCAUGAGACUUUCCAGGAAAGACCAGCUGCAGAUUUCUUUCGCCGACGCUGUCUGCUCUAGGAAGAAAGAGACGAAGGACAGCAAUCGAGAGGCGCGCAAGGCGAAGUGCGAACGGUCUCGGUGCCCGAUGCAUCAACCAAAAAAGAGUC
This 412-nucleotide unclassified non-coding RNA is filed under the name plant metagenome. Its description in RNAcentral is "partial contains 5.8S ribosomal RNA, internal transcribed spacer 2, and large subunit ribosomal RNA". The record is from RNAcentral.